RNAcentral lists this ribosomal RNA (253 nucleotides) under uncultured bacterium. Its description in RNAcentral is "partial 16S ribosomal RNA". It matches the Rfam family "Bacterial small subunit ribosomal RNA", at positions 524 to 776 of the family's 1533-position model. The record is from RNAcentral.
UACGGAGGGUGCAAGCGUUAUCCGGAUUCACUGGGUUUAAAGGGUGCGUAGGUGGGCCCGUAAGUCAGUGGUGAAAUCUCCGAGCUUAACUCGGAAACUGCCAUUGAUACUAUAGGUCUUGAAUUAUCUGGAGGUUAGCGGAAUAUGUCAUGUAGCGGUGAAAUGCUUAGAUAUGACAUAGAACACCGAUUGCGAAGGCAGCUGGCUACAGGUAUAUUGACACUGAGGCACGAAAGCGUGGGGAUCAAACAGG